This 216-nucleotide ribosomal RNA is filed under the name uncultured bacterium. RNAcentral's name for it is "partial 16S ribosomal RNA". It matches the Rfam family "Bacterial small subunit ribosomal RNA", at positions 524 to 734 of the family's 1533-position model. The record is from RNAcentral.
UACGAACUGUGCGAACGUUAUUCGGAAUCACUGGGCUUACAGGGUGCGUAGGCGGCUCAACAAGUCAGGUGUGAAAGCCCCCGGCUCAACCGGGGAACUGCGCUUGAAACUGUUAGGCUCGAGUCAGCUAGAGGUACACGGAACUUCCAGUGGGAGCGGUGAAAUGUGUUGAUAUUGGAAGGAAACACCGGAGGGCGAAAAGCGGGUGUACUGGGG